Schizosaccharomyces pombe (fission yeast) is the source of this 2153-nucleotide non-coding RNA. NCBI's taxonomy places the organism in Eukaryota, Fungi, Ascomycota, Schizosaccharomycetes, Schizosaccharomycetales, Schizosaccharomycetaceae. The record is from the annotation of a GenBank genome assembly.
CUACCAAAGUGGAUUUGAUUGAAUGCUUCUUCUUUGGUAAGGGAUGCGAAAGAAUUAAAGCGAUCAUUUGAAUAGUUUUUCCCAAUCCCAUCUAAAAAAAUUAUUAGCACUGAAUAACAACAAAUAAUAUUUUCAUGACUUACAUCAUCUGCUAGAAUUCCGCCGGAAGCCGAAGAUUUAGACACCGUUUCUCUUGAUUUGAGCCAAGUAAGUCCUUGGACUUGAUGAUCUAGUAGACGUAUAUGCAUGCCAGGAAUAAACGAGGACUGCCUCUGCAUUGAAUCGUCCUUAACAUUGUCCAGCACAUUAUUCUCAAACAGUUUAUGUAGCAUUGCUUGAGUAUUUUGGGAAGUUAAGAUUUCUUCAGUGGGUAUACCUAUGGGGCCUUUUCUAUUUUCAGAAGUUGGUUUAUUGUGCUUACCAAAAUAUAGCGUUGAAGUAGAAGCUCUGGGAAUUGGAAUCACAAUAGGCUUAUCAUUUAUCAAGUCCGUUCUUUUCGAAGUUGCUUUAUUUAUUGAGACUUCAGGAACCUUGGUAUAUGGUUUCUUCCACGCACCAGAUUUUACUGAGAUAGGGGCAAAUGGAUCUUUCUCCCAUUUCCUUAUUCCCUCAUCCUUACGUUCCAAUUUUUUACUAUAAAAAACCUGAGCUGGUUUACUAGUUAUAGGCGCGGAGACGAUUACUUCCUUUUCGUUUGUAUCUAUCUCCUGUCUCUUUAAGCUUUCAAAAGCAUCAGAAAGAAAAUGUUGGGUUUUCUUUUUAUUCUUAGAUUUUAUAGAUUGUUUUGGGAUGGAUUCAUCUUCGCUUUUGGGCAACCUUGGUAAUGAAGUAGAUUCAUUUUCUUUCCCUGCUGUAUUUACACCGAAAUUUUGUAAAAAAGAGUUAUUCGCUUUUUUAACCCCACUUUCCUUAUUUUUAGACGCUUUUUCCAUCAAGCUCCCUCAAGCAAAUUGCACUGAACGUGAACAUUCAGUGGUAGUAGAAAUAGCUUGUAUACGAUGGGUUCUUACUAAGUGAAGAUUGGUGUCAAGAACUCAAAUAUUUCUAUUUGCUUACUUUAAUGUUUUUUUGAGUAUAAAAGUAAACCCUACACAAUAUAUCCACUAACACAGUUUUCGAGUCGAAAUUUGUAAAGACUGCUCAAAUCGACUAUAGGAUUUAAGAACUUGCGCAAUGGUCCUAAUUAACCGAACUUUCAAACAAUUUUAUAAGAAUGUUUGCAACAAAGUGUCUGCAAUUCUGGAUUUAGUUCAUAGUCUAACUUUUUGGAAAAAAAAAUUUAUAUUAGAAAUAGUCAAAAGUUAUGGAAGUUUUUCAGCUUAGUUUUAAAAUCAACGUAUUAAGAUAAACUGGUUAUCAAUGCGAAGAUGAUACCACAUUUGCAGCAUCACUAUUAGUUUUCGAAUUGAAUCUCUUAUACAUUGACACUUAUAAAGAAAAAAGCCCAUUAGGGGUUGAAAGGCUACAUUCUCCGGCCUUUCCUAAAUAAGAAACAUAUUCAACCAGUCUGCCACUUUUAAUAAGACAAUGGUAAAGUUUUAAAUCUUCACUGGCAACUUCGUUAGCCAGAGCAAAACAGCUAUCAUAGUCCUCAAGGCUAAAAUAAACAUUAUGCAAACCGAGAAUUAGUUCAGGCACAUACAAAUUCCGAAUAGUCAUAAGAGUUUUAUAAAGCAAAGGAUCAUCAUCUGGUUUCAGCUCCAAUGUAGACGGGUGAAGCCAGUUAGCUUGAAGUAAGUCUGUGAAGGACUUUACACAUUUACGAGAGGCAAAAUUCAAUUUUUUUUUCCAAACUUUAUAAGAAGUGCUAGCUUUCGUAACUGCAGAAUCUUCAAAUACUUCUUGUUUAGAAAGCUCUUCCCAUUCUUGAUAAAAUUUAAGUGCUCUGCAGAGAGCUCGAUAGUUCAUCAGUUCAUACGCAUCUCUAAACUUAGAAUCGUUUUCGGGUUCACCAUCGCUAGAGCUUAGCGUAUUCAAAGCAUCAGAGGGAAUAUGUGUAUAAAGAUCGUAUGCACUAUUUAGCUCGCCAAUGCUUAAAAAGAAACGAUAUACAAGGUUUGCAAAUCGGAGCAGCUCAUCUGUCUGUGAAGUGAUUAAUAACCAUUCAAGGGUGCAGAUGAGCUUUUUAUAAGAUGGUUCAACUGGCUCCUCAA